This 476-nucleotide ribosomal RNA is filed under the name uncultured bacterium. Its description in RNAcentral is "bacterial SSU rRNA". It matches the Rfam family "Bacterial small subunit ribosomal RNA", at positions 25 to 518 of the family's 1533-position model. The record is from RNAcentral.
CAGGACGAACGCUGGCGGCGUGCCUAACACAUGCAAGUCGAGCGAGGAGAUUCCUCGGGAUGAUCCUAGCGGCGGACGGGUGAGUAACACGUGGGCAACCUGCCUCAUAGAGAGGAAUAGCCUUCCGAAAGGGAGAUUAAUACCUCAUAACAUUGCAGUUUCGCAUGGAACAGCAAUUAAAGGAGCAAUCCGCUAUGAGAUGGGCCCGCGGCGCAUUAGCUAGUUGGUGAGGUAACGGCUCACCAAGGCGACGAUGCGUAGCCGACCUGAGAGGGUGAUCGGCCACAUUGGGACUGAGACACGGCCCAGACUCCUACGGGAGGCAGCAGUGGGGAAUAUUGCACAAUGGGGGAAACCCUGAUGCAGCCAACGCCGCGUGAGUGAUGACGGCCUUCGGGUUGUAAAGCUCUGUCUUCAGGGACGAUAAUGACGGUACCUGAGGAGGAAGCCACGGCUAACUACGUGCCAGCAGCAGC